This 1051-nucleotide long non-coding RNA is filed under the name Callithrix jacchus (white-tufted-ear marmoset). Its description in RNAcentral is "lncRNA (ENSCJAG00000071563.1)". The record is from RNAcentral. Lineage: Eukaryota; Metazoa; Chordata; Mammalia; Primates; Cebidae.
GGGGCCCUCUGCGGCAGUGCCUCAGUGUUGGGCAACGGACCCUUUCUCCCCGCGAUCAUCGCGGAGUCCUGCGAUUUUAGGAAUCUGGCAGGCUGAACCAGGACAAAAGAAGAUCUGGCGGGGCUUCAGGGAUGUCCACGGCGAUGCGCAAUUAUCCCCACGAUCCUUCAGGCCGGCCCAGAUAGCGUGGAGGUGCCUCUCACUGAGAGCCCCCCAGCUGGAUUUCCAGGUCCGGCUUGCCUGUCUGUGGCGGGUCUGCUCUGUCCCCUAGGUGCUUCCCGGCACAGAGCAGAACCCCGGAGCCUCAGGAGCUGCCUGGCAGGAGAACUAGAGGAGGAAAACAUUGCUUUUUUCCUGAGGAAGAAAACAGGUGGUUGGAAAAAGGUAAGUAUUUUACACAGUGUUAAGUUUGAGAAAUCUUUUUACCUAAAACUGUUUCCAUCAUAUCCAGGUUUUGAUUGGUUUUAUUUCAUUUUUUUAUCCCUUGUGUGUCUGCAAAGAGCUCCGAGAGAGAAGACAAUGGCAGUAUGUGUUGCCAAAGAAGGCCAAGAUUAAAAGUUGAAGAACUGAAUAUGCAACUUUCCAAGGAACUUGGAGACAAGAAAAACCUUGUCAGGUAAGUUGGUUGCUAAAACAUUGUCCUUUGGAAUUAACCGUCAAUGUUUAUUAUAUUCUCACCACAGAAAGACAUGUGAAAAUAAUUGCAAGAUAAGACCUUUCUUAAAACAUUCUUUAGUGGAAACAGUAUCUCACAAACAAAUUUCAUCCACUAAUUAAGCUCUCACGGAUGGUUAUACUCUGGAUAUAUAUGUAAAUAAGAGUGAAAAUCUGACACAGAGAAUUGCUUUUUUCUGGAGAAGAGAUGUUGACAACAGUCUCUCUUUAGAGGCCAAAAAAGCAAUUUGAUCUAAAUACUCUGUACUAAGAUUAUGAUGUUUUACGUCAAAAUAAUAAAGUUUCCAAGCUCACUUACCCUGUUCUAAAGGUUGAAAUUUGGGUUAAAUGCUUCUCUCUGGUGAAAUAAAGAAAGGUAAAUGGAUGGCCCAGGAAG